RNAcentral lists this ribosomal RNA (344 nucleotides) under Chamaesipho sp. MPL-2012. Its description in RNAcentral is "partial 12S ribosomal RNA". Lineage: Eukaryota; Metazoa; Arthropoda; Thecostraca; Balanomorpha; Chthamalidae. The record is from RNAcentral.
UGCUACUUUCCAUUAGCUAGCUCUGAAGAAGUAAUAUAAAUGAAAUUUAAUGGAUUUGGCGGCAAGAUAGCCCAAUUAGAGGAACCUGCCCUAUAAUCGAUGUUCCACGAGAGACUUUACUUUUUUUAGCAAUCAGUUCGUAUAUCGUUGUUGUUAGCUUGGUUCCGCAGGAUACUUUCAAUAAUGGGAAAAUCAUUGACUUCAAAUAAAGGUGCAGCUUAUGAAAAAGAAAGAGGUGGGUUACAAUUCUUCUGAAGAAUACGGAUAGCAUAAUGAAAAAAUUGCUUGAAGGUGGAUUUAAUAGUAAGAUCAUACAUUAAGAUCUGACUCGAGCUCUAACUUGU